RNAcentral lists this ribosomal RNA (274 nucleotides) under uncultured bacterium. Its description in RNAcentral is "partial 16S ribosomal RNA". It matches the Rfam family "Bacterial small subunit ribosomal RNA", at positions 523 to 796 of the family's 1533-position model. The record is from RNAcentral.
AUACGGAGGGGGCUAGCGUUGUUCGGAAUUACUGGGCGUAAAGCGCGCGUAGGCGGGCUGGUUAGUUGGGGGUGAAAUCCCAGGGCUCAACCCUGGAACUGCCCUCAAUACUGCCAGUCUUGAGUUCGAGAGAGGUAAGUGGAAUUCCUAGUGUAGAGGUGAAAUUCGUAGAUAUCCGGAGGAACAUCAGUGGCGAAGGCGACUUGCUGGACUAAUACUGACGCUAAGGAGCGAAAGCGUGGGGAGCAAACAGGAUUAGAAACCCGGGUAGUCC